Molecule: non-coding RNA, 75 nt
Organism: Micromonospora echinospora
Lineage: Bacteria; Bacillati; Actinomycetota; Actinomycetes; Micromonosporales; Micromonosporaceae
Source: Rfam
CUUCAGGGAGCCGAGCCAGAGCGGACGGUCCGCCGGGCGUUCCCGGCCGUACGUGGCGAGCAGCGCCUGGGCCUC